Suricata suricatta (meerkat) is the source of this 541-nucleotide long non-coding RNA. RefSeq lists it as uncharacterized. The transcript has 3 exons. The record is from RefSeq and is a predicted model, not a curated record. NCBI's taxonomy places the organism in Eukaryota, Metazoa, Chordata, Mammalia, Carnivora, Herpestidae.
UUUCGCACCUCCAUCCUGUGUCUCCUCCUGUGAGGGCUGAGAGUUGACCCUGUGUGUGUGGCCAUAGCCCUUUUGCACCUGGACUCAUUUCUCUGUCACAUGGCGGGACCAUGGGCUGCUUGUCAUUGAUGAUUUUCUCUGGGCCCAGAAAUCUGGAAUGACUUUGAUGAGCACCGUGGAUCCAUGGAUGAUUACUGAGCAGUGGAGUUCCUACCAGUUACCUGGAGUUUAGGAAGACAAUUCUAGAACAGUAUGUGGCAGAGUCUGGGUGGAAGGAUAUCUGGAUACAGGAAGCUUAUGGCUACAAUGCCAGAAGUUGAACUGUGGCAGCAAGAAUAGAGCAUGGGAUCCACUGAGAGAUACAACAAAGAGUAUUCUGCAUGACUACUUUGCUGGAGCAGGAGAGGGCUGGGGGCAUGGACCAUAGACUCAGAUGGUAAGACUUACAACGUGGCUUUAACAUUUUUUAGAUAUCCAUUGUGGUGAUGUCUUAGCCUCUUUGUGCCUUGGUUUCUUAACUGUAGAAUGAAGAGAAUAAAAG